Molecule: transfer RNA, 77 nt
Filed under: Methylophilaceae bacterium
Lineage: Bacteria; Pseudomonadati; Pseudomonadota; Betaproteobacteria; Nitrosomonadales; Methylophilaceae
Description: tRNA-Pro
Rfam family: tRNA
About the family: Transfer RNA (tRNA) molecules are approximately 80 nucleotides in length.
Source: RNAcentral
CGGGGCGUGGCGCAGCCUGGUAGCGCACUUGCAUGGGGUGCAAGGGGUCGUGAGUUCGAAUCCCACCGCUCCGACCA